This 2481-nucleotide ribosomal RNA is filed under the name Streptomyces arboris. RNAcentral's name for it is "Streptomyces sp. TRM68085 partial 23S ribosomal RNA". It matches the Rfam family "Bacterial large subunit ribosomal RNA", at positions 590 to 2925 of the family's 2925-position model. The record is from RNAcentral. Lineage: Bacteria; Bacillati; Actinomycetota; Actinomycetes; Kitasatosporales; Streptomycetaceae.
GUCGUGACUGCGUGCCUUUUGAAGAAUGAGCCUGCGAGUUAGCGGUGUGUAGCGAGGUUAACCCGUGUGGGGAAGCCGUAGCGAAAGCGAGUCCGAAUAGGGCGUUUGAGUUGCACGCUCUAGACCCGAAGCGGAGUGAUCUAGCCAUGGGCAGGUUGAAGCGGAGGUAAGACUUCGUGGAGGACCGAACCCACCAGGGUUGAAAACCUGGGGGAUGACCUGUGGUUAGGGGUGAAAGGCCAAUCAAACUCCGUGAUAGCUGGUUCUCCCCGAAAUGCAUUUAGGUGCAGCGUCGUGUGUUUCUUGCCGGAGGUAGAGCACUGGAUAGGCGAUGGGCCCUACCGGGUUACUGACCUUAGCCAAACUCCGAAUGCCGGUAAGUGAGAGCGCGGCAGUGAGACUGUGGGGGAUAAGCUCCAUGGUCGAGAGGGAAACAGCCCAGAGCAUCGACUAAGGCCCCUAAGCGUACGCUAAGUGGGAAAGGAUGUGGAGUCGCAGAGACAACCAGGAGGUUGGCUUAGAAGCAGCCACCCUUGAAAGAGUGCGUAAUAGCUCACUGGUCAAGUGAUUCCGCGCCGACAAUGUAGCGGGGCUCAAGCGUACCGCCGAAGUCGUGUCAUUCAUACACAUAGGGCCAACGCCUGUAUGGAUGGGUAGGGGAGCGUCGUGUGCCGGGUGAAGCAGCCGCGGAAGCGAGUUGUGGACGGUUCACGAGUGAGAAUGCAGGCAUGAGUAGCGAUACACACGUGAGAAACGUGUGCGCCGAUUGACUAAGGGUUCCUGGGUCAAGCUGAUCUGCCCAGGGUAAGUCGGGACCUAAGGCGAGGCCGACAGGCGUAGUCGAUGGACAACCGGUUGAUAUUCCGGUACCCGCUUUGAAACGCCCAGUACUGAAUCAGGCGAUGCUAAGUCCGUGAAGCCGGCCCGAUCUCUUCGGAGUUGAGGGUAGUGGUGGAGCCGAUGAACCAGACUUGUAGUAGGUAAGCGAUGGGGUGACGCAGGAAGGUAGUCCAGCCCGGGCGGUGGUUGUCCCGGGGUAAGGGUGUAGCCCGUGUGGUAGGCAAAUCCGUCACACAUAUAAGGGUGAGACCUGAUGCCGAGCCGAUUGUGGUGAAGUGGAUGAUCCUAUGCUGUCGAGAAAAGCCUCUAGCGAGUUUCAUGGCGGCCCGUACCCUAAACCGACUCAGGUGGUCAGGUAGAGAAUACCGAGGCGUUCGGGUGAACUAUGGUUAAGGAACUCGGCAAAAUGCCCCCGUAACUUCGGGAGAAGGGGGGCCAUCACUGGUGAUAGCACUUGCUGCUUGAGCUGGGGGUGGCCGCAGAGACCAGCGAGAAGCGACUGUUUACUAAAAACACAGGUCCGUGCGAAGCCGUAAGGCGAUGUAUACGGACUGACGCCUGCCCGGUGCUGGAACGUUAAGGGGACCGGUUAGUGCACUUUCGGGUGUGCGAAGCUGAGAACUUAAGCGCCAGUAAACGGCGGUGGUAACUAUAACCAUCCUAAGGUAGCGAAAUUCCUUGUCGGGUAAGUUCCGACCUGCACGAAUGGCGUAACGACUUCUCGACUGUCUCAACCAUAGGCCCGGUGAAAUUGCACUACGAGUAAAGAUGCUCGUUUCGCGCAGCAGGACGGAAAGACCCCGGGACCUUUACUAUAGUUUGAUAUUGGUGUUCGGUUCGGCUUGUGUAGGAUAGGUGGGAGACUUUGAAGCGGCCACGCCAGUGGUUGUGGAGUCGUCGUUGAAAUACCACUCUGGUCGUGCUGGAUGUCUAACCUGGGUCCGUGAUCCGGAUCAGGGACAGUGUCUGAUGGGUAGUUUAACUGGGGCGGUUGCCUCCUAAAGAGUAACGGAGGCGCCCAAAGGUUCCCUCAGCCUGGUUGGCAAUCAGGUGUUGAGUGUAAGUGCACAAGGGAGCUUGACUGUGAGACCGACGGGUCGAGCAGGGACGAAAGUCGGGACUAGUGAUCCGGCAGUGGCUUGUGGAAGCGCUGUCGCUCAACGGAUAAAAGGUACCCCGGGGAUAACAGGCUGAUCUUCCCCAAGAGUCCAUAUCGACGGGAUGGUUUGGCACCUCGAUGUCGGCUCGUCGCAUCCUGGGGCUGGAGUCGGUCCCAAGGGUUGGGCUGUUCGCCCAUUAAAGCGGUACGCGAGCUGGGUUUAGAACGUCGUGAGACAGUUCGGUCCCUAUCCGCUGCGCGCGUAGGAAUAUUGAGAAGGGCUGUCCCUAGUACGAGAGGACCGGGACGGACGAACCUCUGGUGUGCCAGUUGUCCUGCCAAGGGCAUGGCUGGUUGGCUACGUUCGGAAAGGAUAACCGCUGAAAGCAUCUAAGCGGGAAGCCUGCUUCGAGAUGAGUAUUCCCACCCCCUUUGAGGGGUUAAGGCUCCCAGUAGACGACUGGGUUGAUAGGCCAGAUGUGGAAGCCCUGUAAGGGGUGGAGCUGACUGGUACUAAUAGGCCGAGGGCUUGUCCUCAGUUG